GUUAAAGCUGUGCGCCUGCGUACGGUAGUCCCAUGUGUUUUCGUGUAUACAUGCAUUGACAAGUUGAACGCUAGCUAGCUAUUACAACUGGAGCUGUGGCUGGGACUUCUACAGACAUACAUGCAUACCAGGGGAAAUAUGGAGGGACUCGUGCAGGCUAGCCUACCUCCUGAUCAGGGACACAUUCUGGGGAUAGUGUGGCCAGGUCCAAAUGCCCCUCGUAUGUAGGCACCACAGGAAUCCUAGUGCAGGAGAUGAAACGUCUUCAAAAUCAUCACAAAGGAGGACAAACUGAAAGUCAUACCCAAGCGAAACAGCGUGUUUGCCCUGGAGAUCGAUGGCUUUGUCUCCCAUAUCUACGGUAGCAAGUUUGAACUCCGCUCAAGCGAACGAUCAGCAAAGACAUUUAAAGUCAAAGGAACCAUAGACCUGUGAUGGUGUUGAUAGAGUACAGGACCGCCUAUGCAAAUGACAAUGAUGAGUGAUGACCUGACCUGCAGGUGGAGAAAUGAGACUGAGCUCUGAGACUCAAAGGACAGAGGAU
This is a long non-coding RNA of Coregonus clupeaformis (lake whitefish), 544 nucleotides long. RefSeq lists it as uncharacterized. The transcript is spliced from 4 exons. Lineage: Eukaryota; Metazoa; Chordata; Actinopteri; Salmoniformes; Salmonidae. The record is from RefSeq and is a predicted model, not a curated record.